UAACACUGGGUAACCUGCCUUAUGAGGGGGAGUAACAGAGAGAAAUCACUGCUAAUACCGCAUAAGCACACAGUACCGCAUGGUACAGGGUGAAAAGAUUUAUCGCCAUAAGAUGGACCCGCGUCUGAUUAGCCAGUUGGCAGGAUAAAAGCCUACCAAAGCAACGAUCAGUAGCCGAUCUGAGAGGAUGACCGGCCACAUUGGGACUGAGACACGGCCCAA
RNAcentral lists this ribosomal RNA (222 nucleotides) under uncultured bacterium. RNAcentral describes it as "partial 16S ribosomal RNA". It matches the Rfam family "Bacterial small subunit ribosomal RNA", at positions 111 to 334 of the family's 1533-position model. The record is from RNAcentral.